GAGAGUUGAUCCUGCUCAGACGACGCUGGCGGCGUGCUUAACACAUGCAAGUCGAACGCUGAAGCCUGGUGCUUGCACCGGGUGGAUGAGUGGCGAACGGGUGAGUAAUACGUGAGUGACCUGCCUUUGGACUCUGGGAUAAGCCUGGGAAACUGGGGUCUAAUACCGGAUGCGACUACUGCCCGCAUGGGCUGGUGGUGGAAAGGGUUAUGUACUGGUCUUAGAUGGGCUCACGGCCUAUCAGCUGGUUGGUGGGGGUAAUGGCCUACCAAGGCGACGACGGGUAGCCGGCCUGAGAGGGUGACCGGCCACACUGGGACUGAGACACGGCCCAGACUCCUACGGGAGGCAGCAGUGGGGAGUAUUGCACAAUGGGCGCAAGCCUGAUGCAGCGACGCCGCGUGAGGGAUGACGGCCUUCGGGUUGUAAACCUCUUUCAGCAGGGAAGAAGCGGAAGUGACGGUACCUGCAGAAGAAGCGCCGGCUAACUACGUG
RNAcentral lists this ribosomal RNA (495 nucleotides) under uncultured Kocuria sp. Its description in RNAcentral is "bacterial SSU rRNA". It matches the Rfam family "Bacterial small subunit ribosomal RNA", at positions 8 to 507 of the family's 1533-position model. The record is from RNAcentral. Lineage: Bacteria; Bacillati; Actinomycetota; Actinomycetes; Micrococcales; Micrococcaceae.